CGUCCUUUAAACGAGCGGACGGCGCCAAAGUCGCGUCAGUUCGCUGCCAGCCGUCGCCCAGCGAACGACCCUUGGGAGUGGAGCAACCUCCCUUCGAUUUUCGAGAGUCCUGUCCGCGUCCACGUCCACGUUCACGGUUCGGUUUCGGUCUUUGUCGAGCGCCAGUGUCGUAGUGACGUCGCGGGGCCCUUUCGCUGGUAGCUAGAUAGCCAGGGUGCACUGUACCAGUGCACAGGUGCCGCCGGUGAAUGUCAGAUCUCGCAGUCGAGUAAACCAAACAAAUCAAUUUGAAUAUGUCCGACACUGGAUGCAGCAGAUGCGAGGCCAAACAAGAGCUCUGGCUCCUGUGAUUGUUUGUCGAAUAAAGCUGUGCCGUGAACCGGGAAAACCAGCAAACGUAAAACAAAAACCAAAAAAAAAAAAAAAACCGAGAACCAACCAAAUUGCAAAAAAUAAAUGUGCGGCGGGUGGCGGCUGGAGCAGGAGCAGACGCAGACGCAGCCGCACCAACACUCCCGACCAGACAAAAGAAAGAGGACUCGGAAAAAGAAAAGAAAAGCCAGGAGGUCGAAACCGCAAUCGCAAUCGCAUUCGGAAUCGCAAUCGCAAUCGGAAUCGGAAUCGAAGAGGAGCUCCCAUUAGGGAAUCAACGCGAGCAAACCAUCGAACAACCAAAUAAUAGAAUAAGCAAUAGCAUCCUUCUACUUGUGAAGGACACACACAAUACAAUAUAUAUUUAGG
This 741-nucleotide small RNA is filed under the name Drosophila pseudoobscura pseudoobscura. Its description in RNAcentral is "GA31791". The record is from RNAcentral. Lineage: Eukaryota; Metazoa; Arthropoda; Insecta; Diptera; Drosophilidae.